Molecule: long non-coding RNA, 1135 nt
Organism: Panicum hallii
Lineage: Eukaryota; Viridiplantae; Streptophyta; Magnoliopsida; Poales; Poaceae
Exons: 2
Source: RefSeq, a predicted model, not a curated record
UGAAAGAUGUGAUGGUUCUGGGCUUCUGGCAGUCCCUUCUUGCGCCCGCCUGAAAGAUGCCAUGGCGCGGCUGCUGGGGCACGUGUUGGUCUCGGCUGCCGCGCGCUGUCCAGGCACUGCUCGUAUCCUCGCAGCACCACCAGCAACAGACUCAUGACUUCAGUAGUCACGGGGGGCAUCAAGCGCGUUGGUCAGACAGUCAGACAGGUCAGUUUAUCUGUUCACCAAACAAACGACUGAAAUUCUCGUGAUUCUUCCUUUCAAAGAAAAAACUCGUGAUUGCUGAUUGUAUGCUAUAUUAUCCCUGAUAAGCAAACAAGCAGGGGUUCAACUCGAUUUUUACAGGCUAAGCUGGACUUCUAGAAGACGCUUCUAAUCUGCUUUGUCCAGGGAGAGGGAUGGACGCCGUGCCAUACACCUGAAUGUCUGGCGUACGCGCCACGCACCUCCACAUGAGAAAGUGACCCACGUAGUAAUUAUUGAUUAAACUAUGCAUGCAUGGGAUCGUGACAAGUGCGCGUAUCCACGUGCCCCCGACGCAAGGAGAUGGGCACAAAACCUGGUGGUGCAGUCAGAUUGCAGCGAUCUUGCUGAAAAGAAAAGGAAAGGAACCAACCAGCCAGCCAUUGAAGUCCCUCCUCGUGCAUGGAUCAACGGAAGAACUGAUCAUGCAUGCUUAUUAGUAAGGAAACAAUCGAAGCAUGCCACGGCGGCAUCGCUUCCAGAAGCUGCAGUGCAAAGGGAGGCGACGCCUUGUCGCAUUGAUGGCGUGUUCGUCGGUGCAGGAGCCGGAGCGUAGCGCGCGGGGGGCGGCUGGUUGGUGUGCAGGUGUCGCUCAUGCUGCCGCGCUCAUCUCCGGAUCCAAUUUUAUUUUGGUCGUCUCCUACACGAUCCAGCACAAGCCUACAUAUAAAUUACACUAAGCUAUAUACAAAGUAUACAUGUGUAUAUAUAUAGUUUCUACCAAUCUGGAUGAUGACGUCUGCCGGGUUGCCGCCCAGCACGAGCUAGCCUGGCUGCUGUCGGUUUAUGUUGCAGCGUCACGGCCUACCUGCUGCCACACUCUUUGAAGAGUCCGGCUCCUGUUGGCCAUGCAUCCUCGAAUUAAAUAAAAUGAAUGCUAUGCAUUUGUUUA